UGGUCACAAUUGGUUCCUAUUACUCUCUUGCGUACCCAUGAAUUGCGCGCGGGGUUCUUCCUUCGGCGCGCUUUUUAGUCUCUAAUGGCAAUAGUCAGAUUGGAUUAUAUUGAGGAUAUGCAGAAAAUUUGAAUAUUACGUAAUAUCGAUCGUUGUUACUGUCGAGAGAACGAACGAACGAACGAACGAACGAACGAGAGAGAGAAAGACAAACGGACAAACAGACAGACAGACAGAACGAAGAAACGAAGUAAAUGUGUAUUGUAUGGAAAAUAGAGCGCGUUUAACAUGCGAGUAACGUCGCAAUUGGCACGUCUUGUCGAGACACCGAAUGCUCUUUCGAGGUUAGAAGUGCAUUGCACUGUUGCAUGCAUCAUGCAAUAGCGCACGAACGGAAUGACGAGUAAAACAAGAUGGUGUGCGUGAAGAAAUAAAAAAGAAAAAAAAAUAAGGAAAGAAAAAAAAAAAAAGAAAAAAAAAAGCACUUGGAUGACCUCGUUUGCUUGAAAAAAAGAAAAGAGAAGAAAAACAACACCAAACAUAAGAAUCUUCGAACAAUUUGCCUGUCGCAGUCAAUGACUAUAAUUUAAUGUCUGGUGUAUCGAUCGAAA
Molecule: long non-coding RNA, 611 nt
Organism: Vespa mandarinia (Asian giant hornet)
Lineage: Eukaryota; Metazoa; Arthropoda; Insecta; Hymenoptera; Vespidae
Source: RefSeq, a predicted model, not a curated record